CGAUCUCUCGCGCGUUACUGAGGGUGUUGGAGUUUGGGUUCAUUGGUUUCUAUUUUCUGUUUCGUUUGCAAGGCAAGUUCUUUCUUUGAAGUAAGAGGUGAUGCAGUGAUGGAUCGGAGGCGGCCCGUAAAGCGGGUGCGACCUGACGAGUUUUUCUUUGACGGAGGAGAGUCCAACAACACAGGGUCUUUCUUGAAGAAGUAGUCGCAUAGUUCCGAAGUUGAGGCUCGUUAUGAUCGGUAUGAUCAUGAGACAUGAACCCUCCAACGCAAGUUGAUAACUGAGUGAGGUACCAAGAGCAGACUCGUGCCUGAAGAUCCUUUUGAACUGAAUGGCUCG
This 339-nucleotide long non-coding RNA is filed under the name Amphibalanus amphitrite. Its description in RNAcentral is "uncharacterized LOC122380830". The record is from RNAcentral. Lineage: Eukaryota; Metazoa; Arthropoda; Thecostraca; Balanomorpha; Balanidae.